RNAcentral lists this ribosomal RNA (320 nucleotides) under uncultured Neisseria NS1. RNAcentral's name for it is "bacterial SSU rRNA". It matches the Rfam family "Bacterial small subunit ribosomal RNA", at positions 25 to 341 of the family's 1533-position model. The record is from RNAcentral. Lineage: Bacteria; Pseudomonadati; Pseudomonadota; Betaproteobacteria; Neisseriales; Neisseriaceae.
CAGAUUGAACGCUGGCGGCAUGCUUUACACAUGCAAGUCGGACGGCAGCGGGGUAGUGCUUGCACUACUGCCGGCGAGUGGCGAACGGGUGAGUAACAUAUCGGAACGUACCGAGCAGUGGGGGAUAACUAAUCGAAAGAUUAGCUAAUACCGCAUAUAUUCUGAGGAAGAAAGCAGGGGACCUUUGGGCCUUGCGCUGUUUGAGCGGCCGAUAUCUGAUUAGCUGGUUGGUGGGGUAAAGGCCUACCAAGGCGACGAUCAGUAGCGGGUCUGAGAGGAUGAUCCGCCACACUGGGACUGAGACACGGCCCAGACUCCUA